RNAcentral lists this transfer RNA (88 nucleotides) under Lentisphaeria bacterium. Its description in RNAcentral is "tRNA-Ser". It matches the Rfam family "tRNA". Rfam says of the family: Transfer RNA (tRNA) molecules are approximately 80 nucleotides in length. Their secondary structure includes four short double-helical elements and three loops (D, anti-codon, and T loops). Further hydrogen bonds mediate the characteristic L-shaped molecular structure. tRNAs have two regions of fundamental functional importance: the anti-codon, which is responsible for specific mRNA codon recognition, and the 3' end, to which the tRNAs corresponding amino acid is attached (by aminoacyl-tRNA synthetases). tRNAs cope with the degeneracy of the genetic code in two manners: having more than one tRNA (with a specific anti-codon) for a particular amino acid; and 'wobble' base-pairing, i.e. permitting non-standard base-pairing at the 3rd anti-codon position. Lineage: Bacteria; Pseudomonadati; Lentisphaerota; Lentisphaeria. The record is from RNAcentral.
GGAGAGAUGGUCGAGUGGUCGAAGGCGCCACAUUGGAAAUGUGGUGAUGGGCAACUAUCCGAGGGUUCGAAGCCCUCUCUCUCCGCCA